GACGAACGCUGACGGCGUGGAUUAGGCAUGCAAGUCGAACGGUAUCAUCCUUUCGGGGGUGAGAGAGUGGCGAACUGGUGAGUAACACGUAGGUUAUCUACCCUCAAGACGGGGACAACCCAGGGAAACUUGGGCUAAUACCGGAUGUGAGCAACUUUUAGUUGUUUGAAAGGUGGCGUAAGCUGUCGCUUGGGGAUGAGCCUGCGUCCUAUUAGUUAGUUGGUGAGGUAACGGCUCACCUAGGCAAUGAUAGGUAGGCGGCCUUAACGGGUGGUCGCCCACACUGGGAUUGAGAUACGGCCCAGACUCCUACGGGAGGCAGCAGUCGAGAAUAGUCUACAAUGGUCGGAAGACUGAUAGUGCGACGCCGCGUGAACGAUGAAUCCCUUCGGGGUGUAAAGUUCUUUUAUAUGUGAGCAGUGCUUCUUAUAUUAACAGUAUGGGGAGAGAGAUAUUAGCAUAUGAAUAAGCAACGGCUAACUCCGUGCCAGCAGCCGCGGUAAACUCGU
RNAcentral lists this ribosomal RNA (509 nucleotides) under uncultured bacterium. RNAcentral describes it as "bacterial SSU rRNA". It matches the Rfam family "Bacterial small subunit ribosomal RNA", at positions 28 to 528 of the family's 1533-position model. The record is from RNAcentral.